RNAcentral lists this ribosomal RNA (544 nucleotides) under Photobacterium angustum. RNAcentral describes it as "bacterial SSU rRNA". It matches the Rfam family "Bacterial small subunit ribosomal RNA", at positions 10 to 540 of the family's 1533-position model. The record is from RNAcentral. Lineage: Bacteria; Pseudomonadati; Pseudomonadota; Gammaproteobacteria; Vibrionales; Vibrionaceae. RNAcentral also lists the same sequence under 1 other name.
AGUUUGAUCCUGGCUCAGAUUGAACGCUGGCGGCAGGCCUAACACAUGCAAGUCGAGCGGUAACAGAUUGAUAGCUUGCUAUCAAUGCUGACGAGCGGCGGACGGGUGAGUAAUGCCUGGGAAUAUGCCCUGAUGUGGGGGAUAACUAUUGGAAACGAUAGCUAAUACCGCAUAAUCUCUUCGGAGCAAAGAGGGGGACCUUCGGGCCUCUCGCGUCAGGAUUAGCCCAGGUGGGAUUAGCUUGUUGGUGGGGUAAUGGCUUACCAAGGCAACGAUCCCUAGCUGGUCUGAGAGGAUGAUCAGCCACACUGGAACUGAGACACGGUCCAGACUCCUACGGGAGGCAGCAGUGGGGAAUAUUGCACAAUGGGGGAAACCCUGAUGCAGCCAUGCCGCGUGUAUGAAGAAGGCCUUCGGGUUGUAAAGUACUUUCAGUUGUGAGGAAGGCAGUAAAGUUAAUAGCUUUGCUGUUUGACGUUAGCAACAGAAGAAGCACCGGCUAACUCCGUGCCAGCAGCCGCGGGUAAUACGGAGGGUGCGAGCG